This 397-nucleotide RNase P RNA is filed under the name Calditrichota bacterium. RNAcentral describes it as "Calditrichaeota bacterium RNase P RNA component class A". It matches the Rfam family "Bacterial RNase P class A". From Rfam's summary of the family: Ribonuclease P (RNase P) is a ubiquitous endoribonuclease, found in archaea, bacteria and eukarya as well as chloroplasts and mitochondria. Its best characterised activity is the generation of mature 5'-ends of tRNAs by cleaving the 5'-leader elements of precursor-tRNAs. The record is from RNAcentral. Lineage: Bacteria; Pseudomonadati; Calditrichota.
AGAGAAGACCGGACGGCCGCCUCUUCGGCCAGCAGGCCUGAAGGGGAGGAAAGUCCGAACUCCACAGGGCAGGGCGGUCGCUAACAGCGACUCUACGCGAGUAGAGGAAAGUGCCACAGAAAACAGACGGCCUUGAAGCUUCAAGGUCAAGGUGAAAAGGUGGGGUAAGAGCCCACCGCCCCGGUGGUGACACUCGGGGGCACGGUAAACCCCGCCCGGAGCAAGACCAAGUAUGUUUCGUUUGGGGAUUUCCCCAGGAGAGUGGCCCGCUCAACCCUCGAACCGAGGGACGAAACGGGUAGGUCGCUUGAACCAGAGGGCAACCUCUGGUCCAGAUAAAUGGCCGUCGCCCCGGAGGUCCGGGGUACAGAAUUCGGCUUACAGGUCUUCUCUGGAU